Molecule: ribosomal RNA, 245 nt
Filed under: uncultured bacterium
Lineage: Bacteria
Description: partial 16S ribosomal RNA
Rfam family: Bacterial small subunit ribosomal RNA
Source: RNAcentral
UGGGUAACCUGCCCGGAAGUGGGGAAUACCUCGGGGAAACUCGAGCUAAUACCGCAUGAAAUCUUCGGGACGAAAGUCCUGACGAUCAAAGCGGGGCCGCAAGGCCUCGCGCUCCCGGAUGGGCCCGCGCCCGAUUAGCUAGUUGGCGAGGUAACGGCUCACCAAGGCUUCGAUCGGUAACCGGCCUGAGAGGGCGAUCGGUCACACCGGAACUGAGACACGGUCCGGACUCCUACGGGAGGCAG